UAUUAAGUGAAUGGGGUUGUUGGUGAGUUUUAUCCCACAACAGGCAAUGUUUCUUCGUGAUCACCUCUGAAAAUCGCUAUUCAACUAAUUUCAUUGUGUCGAUCGGGAUUUGAAGUAAAAUAGAAAACACCAGGAGCAGCUCAAACAAAUGAAACAAUCGACUUUUUUCAUCAAUGAACAUUAUGUUUGUUCCUACCAGUUCAUGUUAAAUAAUAUAUCAAAAUACAAUCUUUU
This is a non-coding RNA of Paramuricea clavata, 234 nucleotides long. Lineage: Eukaryota; Metazoa; Cnidaria; Anthozoa; Malacalcyonacea; Plexauridae. The record is from the annotation of a GenBank genome assembly.